RNAcentral lists this ribosomal RNA (510 nucleotides) under uncultured bacterium. RNAcentral describes it as "bacterial SSU rRNA". It matches the Rfam family "Bacterial small subunit ribosomal RNA", at positions 543 to 1051 of the family's 1533-position model. The record is from RNAcentral.
AAUCGGAAUUACUGGGCGUAAAGCGUGCGCAGGCGGUUAUGUAAGACAGAGGUGAAAUCCCCGGGCUCAACCUGGGAACUGCCUUUGUGACUGCAUAGCUGGAGUGCGGCAGAGGGGGAUGGAAUUCCGCGUGUAGCAGUGAAAUGCGUAGAUAUGCGGAGGAACACCGAUGGCGAAGGCAAUCCCCUGGGCCUGCACUGACGCUCAUGCACGAAAGCGUGGGGAGCAAACAGGAUUAGAUACCCUGGUAGUCCACGCCCUAAACGAUGUCAACUGGUUGUUGGGUCUUCACUGACUCAGUAACGAAGCUAACGCGUGAAGUUGACCGCCUGGGGAGUACGGCCGCAAGGUUAAAACUCAAAGGAAUUGACGGGGACCCGCACAAGCGGUGGAUGAUGUGGUUUAAUUCGAUGCAACGCGAAAAACCUUACCCACCUUUGACAUGUACGGANUCCUUUAGAGAUAGAGGAGUGCUCGAAAGAGAGCCGUAACACAGGUGCUGCAUGGCUG